GCAAAGUUUACAACAGAGGCAGAAGGAAC
RNAcentral lists this non-coding RNA (29 nucleotides) under Rattus norvegicus (Norway rat). The record is from RNAcentral. Lineage: Eukaryota; Metazoa; Chordata; Mammalia; Rodentia; Muridae.